CCUACGGGGGGUAGCAGUGAGGAAUAUUGGUCAAUGGGCGCGAGCCUGAACCAGCCAAGUAGCGUGAAGGAUGACUGCCCUACGGGUUGUAAACCUCUUUUAUAAAGGAAUAAAGUGAGGCACGUGUGCCUUUUUGUAUGUACCUUAUGAAUAAGGAUCGGCUAACUCCGUGCCAGCAGCCGCGGUAAUACGGAGGAUCCGAGCGUUAUCCGGAUUUAUUGGGUUUAAAGGGUGCGUAGAUGGGUUGUUAAGUCAGUUGUGAAAGUUUGCGGCUCAACCGUAAAAUUGCAGUUGAUACUGGCGGUCUUGAGUGCAGUUGAGGUAGGCGGAAUUCGUGGUGUAGCGGUGAAAUGCUUAGAUAUCACGAAGAACUCCGAUUGCGAAGGCAGCUUACUAAACUGCCACUGACAUUGAUGCUCGAAAGUGUGGGUAUCAAACAGGAUUAGAUACCCGUGUAGUC
RNAcentral lists this ribosomal RNA (460 nucleotides) under uncultured bacterium. RNAcentral describes it as "partial 16S ribosomal RNA". It matches the Rfam family "Bacterial small subunit ribosomal RNA", at positions 338 to 795 of the family's 1533-position model. The record is from RNAcentral.